This is a long non-coding RNA of Artibeus jamaicensis (Jamaican fruit-eating bat), 935 nucleotides long. RefSeq lists it as uncharacterized. The record is from RefSeq and is a predicted model, not a curated record. The transcript is spliced from 3 exons. Lineage: Eukaryota; Metazoa; Chordata; Mammalia; Chiroptera; Phyllostomidae.
UCCUGGGUUGGUGACUGAGACCGAGGCCCCAGGGCUCCGGAGCACUGGGGACUUGCUGCCCCCAGCCAUGCCUCAGUGUCACCGUGGGGGGCUUCCAGUCCAGCAAGGGGGGUGGAGAAUAUCAGGUCCCCUCCCUGCUUGAGAGGCCACCACUCAUGAGGAUUUCCUUGGGGCGGGAAGCAGAACCUGGAGAUGAUGGAGGCCCAGCUGACACCUUGAUUACAGCCUUUCGAGGAAUCCUAGAGUGGAGGACCAGCUGAACCAUGUCUGGACUCUGUCCCACAGAAAUGGCUUGGCGACCCUCACUUGGGACUCUCUCCGGAGGAACAGAAGAUUCUGGAUACCGUGGGCAGACUCCUUUACGCACACGAUGCCCGGUUCUCACCGCUCUUCUGGAUGCGACAGCGAGGACUCCAAACAUGGGGCACACUGAGGGAUGCGUUGGUGCUGGGGCACACGCCCCUCUGCUGCAGCCAGGGCCUGUCUCCAGCGUCUGGAAAUGGCAGCCACCACUGAGGCUGGACCCUCCAGGUUAAAGCUGGCCCGAAGCCCAGCGCCUCACGAGGUGACAAAGAGCACAGCCAGACUGGGCCGCUGUCCUCCCAUCCUUUGUCCCACACACACACCAGCCCCACCAGCCACCCUGUCACAGCCCACCCAAGGCCGGCGACCCUGUCCUCAAGGUGUCAGUACCUCCCCUUCUAAAUUUCACCCCAGAAAUCAAUUAGGCCUGGAACAGUUGAUUAUAAAUCAGCUGUUUUCAUAAUUGUUAUGCCUUUAAUAAAUCAAAGCUGUGUGCGUUGCCGGCAAAGUGGCGCUGUUCUCCGGAGUCAUCAGUCACCCGGGGGACGACGGCGCGUCCACAGCCCUUGUCCUGCACCAGGUCUGCAGAGGCUGCUGCCACCCAGGGAGCUCCUGGACCCGGGCCGGGCUGU